Molecule: ribosomal RNA, 251 nt
Filed under: uncultured bacterium
Lineage: Bacteria
Description: partial 16S ribosomal RNA
Rfam family: Bacterial small subunit ribosomal RNA
Source: RNAcentral
UACGUAGGGUGCAAGCGUUGUCCGGAAUUAUUGGGCGUAAAGAGCUCGUAGGCGGUUUGUCGCGUCUGCUGUGAAACUCAGGCUUAACUCUGAGCUUGCAGUGGGUACGGGCAGACUUGAGUGCGGUAGGGGAGACUGGAAUUCCUGGUGUAGCGGUGAAAUGCGCAGAUAUCAGGAGGAACACCGAGUGGCGAAGGCAGGUCUCUGGGCCACUACUGACGCUGAGAAGCGAAAGCAUGGGAGCGAACAGG